Molecule: non-coding RNA, 1472 nt
Organism: Macaca mulatta (Rhesus monkey)
Lineage: Eukaryota; Metazoa; Chordata; Mammalia; Primates; Cercopithecidae
Source: RefSeq, a predicted model, not a curated record
CCUCCAGCUGCAGAGAGCUUCAGUUUGCCUUUUUUUUUAAAACUAAAAUGGAGGCUGGUUUCUUGCCUUAAGGAGCCCAUUGCCUUUCCCGCUGAAGUUUAGAUGUUGACAUGUAAUAAAGCGGGCAGCAGGAUGGUGGUGGAUGCGGCCAACUCCAAUGGGCCUUUCCAGCCCGUGGCCCUUCUCCAUAUUCGAGAUGUUCCUCCUGCUGAUCAAGAGAAGCUUUUUAUCCAGAAGUUACGUCAGUGUUGUGUCCUCUUUGACUUUGUUUCUGAUCCACUAAGUGACCUAAAGUGGAAGGAGGUAAAACGAGCUGCUUUAAGUGAAAUGGUGGAAUAUAUCACCCAUAAUCGGAAUGUGAUCACAGAGCCUAUUUGCCCAGAAGUAGUCCAUAUGUUUGCAGUUAACAUGUUUCGAACAUUACCACCUUCCUCCAAUCCUACGGGAGCAGAAUUUGACCCAGAGGAAGACAAACCAACGUUAGAAGCAGCCUGGCCUCAUCUACAGCUUGUUUAUGAAUUUUUCUUAAGAUUUUUAGAGUCUCCAGAUUUCCAACCUAAUAUAGCGAAGAAAUAUAUUGAUCAGAAGUUUGUAUUGCAGCUUUUAGAGCUCUUUGACAGUGAAGAUCCUUGGGAGAGAGAUUUUCUUAAAACCACCCUUCACAGAAUCUAUGGGAAAUUCCUAGGCUUGAGAGCUUACAUCAGAAAACAGAUAAUAAUAUAUUUUAUAGGUUUAUUUAUGAAACAGAGCAUCAUAAUGGCAUAGCAGAGUUACUGGAAAUAUUGGGAAGUAUAAUUAAUGGAUUUGCCUUACCACUCAAAGAAGAGCACAAGAUUUUCUUAUUGAAGGUGUUACUACCUUUGCACAAAGUGAAAUCUCUGAGUGUCUACCAUCCCCAGCUGGCAUACUGUGUAGUGCAGUUUUUAGAAAAGGACAGCACCCUCACGGAACCAGUGGUGAUGGCACUUCUCAAAUACUGGCCAAAGACUCACAGUCCAAAAGAAGUAAUGUUCUUAAAUGAAUUAGAAGAGAUUUUAGAUGUCAUUGAACCAUCAGAAUUUGUGAAGAUCAUGGAGCCCCUCUUCCGGCAGUUGGCCAAAUGUGUCUCCAGCCCACACUUCCAGGUGGCAGAGCGAGCUCUCUAUUACUGGAAUAAUGAAUACAUCAUGAGUUUAAUCAGUGACAACGCAGCGAAGAUUCUGCCCAUCGUAUUUCCUUCCUUGUACCGCAACUCAAAGACCCAUUGGAACAAGACAAUACAUGGCUUGAUAUACAACGCCCUGAAGCUCUUCAUGGAGAUGGACCAAAAGCUAUUUGAUGACUGUACACAACAGUUCAAAGCAGAGAAACUAAAAGAGAAGCUAAAAAUGAAAGAACGGGAAGAAGCAUGGGUUAAAAUAGAAAAUCUAGCCAAAACCAAUCCCCAGGUACUAAAAAAGAGUAACAUGAAAACGCCCAGGGUUACUUGAAUG